RNAcentral lists this ribosomal RNA (505 nucleotides) under uncultured cyanobacterium. RNAcentral's name for it is "bacterial SSU rRNA". It matches the Rfam family "Bacterial small subunit ribosomal RNA", at positions 207 to 711 of the family's 1533-position model. The record is from RNAcentral. Lineage: Bacteria; Bacillati; Cyanobacteriota.
AUAUUAUAGCCUGAAGAAGAGCUCGCGUCCGAUUAGCUAGUUGGAGAGGUAAAAGCUCACCAGGCGACGAUCGGUAGCUGGUCUGAGAGGACGAUCAGNCACACUGGGACUGAGACACGGCCCAGACUCCUACCGGGAGGCAGCAGUGGGGGAAUUUUCCGCAAUGGGCGAAAGCCUGACGGAAGCAAGACCGCGUGGGGGGAAGAAGGCUCUUGGGUUUGUAAACCCCCUUUUCUCUGGGGAAGAAAGUUGUGAAAGCAGCCUGACGGUACCAGAGGAAUCAGCAUCGGCUAACUCCGUGCCAGCAGCCGCGGUAAGACGGAGGAUGCAGGCGUUAUCCGGAAUGAUUGGGCGUAAAGCGUCCGCAGGUGGCAGUUCAAGUCUGCUGUCAAAGACCGGGGCUCAACCUCGGAAAGGCAGUGGAAACUGAACAGCUAGAGUAUGGUAGGGGCAAAGGGAAUUCCUGGUGUAGCGGUGAAAUGCGUAGAGAUCAGGAAGAACAUCG